Molecule: long non-coding RNA, 2867 nt
Organism: Chiloscyllium plagiosum (whitespotted bambooshark)
Lineage: Eukaryota; Metazoa; Chordata; Chondrichthyes; Orectolobiformes; Hemiscylliidae
Source: RefSeq, a predicted model, not a curated record
UUUAAGAAAAGUAUAACAAUGCCUCUGUAUUAGGCCAGUGUGUGCAGUUCCUCCGAGGGAUAUGGAAGUACAUAACUUCAGUGUUUCCAGACGUUGUGUACCUGGCCACAUGGAAUUAAAUAGUGAAGUCUUAAUAGUCAGACCGAUUAUGAGUGUUUAUUGACCUAUCACGGUACCGAGAGACACCCCUAGGGGGGGCUCGGAUCUUCAUUUGGUACCGUGACUCGACUUAGUGCGGACAGACUAUUGACAGUGGCGUAAGAACCUUGAGUUCUCCAUGUUGAGGAAUUGGUCACCCGGAUAUACUUGAACUAAGUGGAGAGACGUGGGGGAUUGCCUACUUACUGACCUGUUUGAUCAUGUACGACAUCCUGAUGGGGAAAACCACUAAGCAUCGAUGCGAUCCAGAACGAUCCGAGACUAUCCACCACCUAUGCCAAGGAGAUGUCAUCCAGUGCACUGGACCAGAAGCCUUUAACAUGUGGAAUGUGACAAAGAUUGAUUAUUGCAAUGGACUCUUACAUCAGAAAGACUGUAUGGUCCAUCUGGAGAGUAGAAAUCAGUGUCAACUACCAUGUCGUUACCGAACCUCUCUUUUUGAUUUUCCCUGCAGACAUACGCCUAGUGAGGAUAAAAAUGAUCAAUCCCCGUUAUUAUGGUAAAUGUUUUAAGGAGGCCCGGGAACACCAUCCCUUUUUUGCAGGACGGACCUACUUGAGAAAAGAGAAGCCUGAUAGGGGAAACUCCUCAAUCCACAAACAGCUUAUUUAUACAGGCCCACUGAACACUCUUUCCCCCAGAAUCAGUGUAUGUUACUCUUCUCUAUUGGUAGAUGACUUAUUUGACGCGUCCAGUCCUUCGAUCCCAAUCUAUUCAUCAGACUUCCUACUGCUGACCCUCUGCAGAGAAAUAUCACUUUCCAAUACUGUAUUAGCCCUCCUGCCAUGUGUUUGCUGACGUCUUUUAACUCUACUGCAGGGUCGUAUGAGAAUUGCUUUAAUGGAACCGGGUAUGGGUGUGCAAUUGUUCAUGUUCCACGUAACAUCACCUGCCUAAUUUGAGACUUGUCCCGCCCACUCAUGUAAGACAAAGGGCCCUUAUACCUCCUGCCCGUGUAUACAAACAGCUUGCAUUCCACUGGCUGGGGGACAACAAGCCUUAUGCGGCAUAAGUAACUAUAACCAUCUCCAUGUACGGACCCGGAACUGAACCCUUCCCUUGCGCUUUUAUAGGUCUUUUUCCUUUUCCGAACCUGAUACUGUCGCCAAGCCCACGUGCAAUAGAGUGAAGGGAGACCCAAAUGGGAACAGAAUUUUGAGGACCAUUGUCUACCAUACAGUGCGAGCACUCAACAGUCACCUUGUCCAUUUUUUUUUAUGGUGCUCAAACGACGCCUCUAGCAAAAUGUCAUCCCUUUAGUCCUGUAGACCUGACCAAAACCCCUGCUGUAUCACUUCAGUAACCUAUUUUAACAAACCCUCCCCAAACCAGACUAUUAUUUCUUCAGCCAAGGUAAAGCUACCAAUUUCUUGUUCUUGAUAGCAAAGUCGUUCCCCAUAAGGUUGCUACUGGAGCCCUUGUUCCCACAACAGUACCUUGUCCUGGCAAGUUGGUGGAAUCUUCAUCUGAGGAGGAUGCAGCGGUCAGUCUCAGCUGACGUUUGCUCCAACUGGAAGGAUCCCAAGGGACUGGGUGACAAUACAGGACACUUGAUAGACUGGGGAGUCCUGAGUACCCUGAGUUUGGGUGGAUCGGCGGGGGGAAAUAAAUCAAAUGAACCGCAAUUACCUCAUCUGCGGUCUGACCAUUCUAGGAUAUAAGACCAAUGAAACUCUAGAACAGAUUAAACUGGGAUUAUCAGAUCGGCGCCUUUACUCUAUGCAGAAUUGGUACGCCUUAGACUAUAUACUAGCCCGGGAAGCUGGGGUCUGUGCUAUUGUCCGAGACAAUGGCCCUAUGGGCAUUCCCAAUCACACUGGCAAUAUUACUAAGAUACAGGAUGAGAUCCAGGUGUUCCUUGACAGAAGGCACUGACUGGGGAGAUUGGGGUUUUGGCUCAUGGUAUGACUGGUUGAUCAAUCUGGCAAUAUAUAUUGGUAUUAUUUUACUUUGUUAUUUUGUUGGUAUUGGUAUUGUUAGAAUUUAUUAGCUUAGCAAUUAUAAUUUAUUAGCAACAUCGGCUCCCCUCAGAGUGCUCCUCCUCAGUCCUGAUGCUGCCCCGUGUGAGGAUGAGGAGAGACAGUUGCCCACCCCUUCCUCCCUGAAAGAAGAGGAAGCAUGACAGGCUGUGGCGUCCAUCCAAUUAGACUGAUCUUUGCCCUCCCGCCCUAUGGUGUGAUCAUGGAAUGACCAAAGUGGGGAGAUGAGAGUCUGAAACCUGAAUGCAGGCUGAGUUAGAACAUGGAGGCUCAUGAUCUAUGCCUAUAUGACUGUUGCAGCUCGAGACAAAAUAGUUCCCUGCGCCUACAUGACUAGUUGCAGCUAGUCUCUAAAGCUACAUAAAUAACCAACCACUAGAAUGCAGAAGUAGACCGAUUUAAAAUGAGGAAUGCUAACCACACUCUUCACAGCUGCAGGUCUUUGUAAUACAAGAUAAAAAAGACCUAAUGUUAUGACCCAAGUUGUUUACCAGUUAAUAUCAUUGGAUCAAGCAACUAUCAAUGAAGUGAUAUCAUAUAUUGAUUGGUAAUUGUCUGAAUUUACUAUGUGAUCAUGCCUUAUGAUCUGCUUUAAGAAAAGUAUAACAAUGCCUCUGUAUUAGGCCAGUGUGUGCAGUUCCUCCGAGGGAUAUGGAAGUACAUAACUUCAGUGUUUCCAGACGUUGUGUACCUGGCCACAUGGAAUUAAAUAGUGAAGUCUUAACAGUC